Molecule: ribosomal RNA, 376 nt
Filed under: Pareas macularius
Lineage: Eukaryota; Metazoa; Chordata; Lepidosauria; Squamata; Pareidae
Description: partial large subunit ribosomal RNA
Source: RNAcentral
AAGGCACAAUGAAAGUCCAACUGUCUCUUAUAGUCAAUCAAUUAAACUGAUCUCCUAGUACAWAAGCUAGAAUAUCCCCAUAAGACCAGAAGACCCUGUGAAGYUUUAACUAACCCAUUAAAUCCAAUAAUGGUUACUUUUGGUUGGGGCGACCUUGGAAAAAAAAGAAACUUCCAAAUAUAACGACAUCCACCGUACCAUACAGGCCUACAAGCCACAUAGACCCAGUACACCUGACAAAUGAACCAAGUUACUCCAGGGAUAACAGCGCCAUCUUCUUCAAGAGCCCAUAUCAAAAAGAAGGUUUACGACCUCGAUGUUGGAUCAGGACAUCCUGGCGGUGCAGCCGCUGCCAAGGGUUCGUUUGUUCAACGAU